UACGUAGGCGGAAUAUUAAGUCAGUGGUGAAAUCCUGCAGCUUAACUGUAGAAUUGCCAUUGAUACUGAUCUUCUUGAAUUUAGUUGAGGUGGGCGGAAUGUGUAAUGUAGCGGUGAAAUGCUUAGAUAUUACACAGAACACUGAUUGCGAAGGCAGCUCACUAAACUAACAUUGACGCUAAGGUACGAAAGCGUGGGGAGCGAACAGGAUUAGAUACCCUGGUAGUCC
This 229-nucleotide ribosomal RNA is filed under the name uncultured bacterium. RNAcentral's name for it is "partial 16S ribosomal RNA". It matches the Rfam family "Bacterial small subunit ribosomal RNA", at positions 568 to 796 of the family's 1533-position model. The record is from RNAcentral.